RNAcentral lists this ribosomal RNA (496 nucleotides) under uncultured Sphingobacteriales bacterium. RNAcentral describes it as "bacterial SSU rRNA". It matches the Rfam family "Bacterial small subunit ribosomal RNA", at positions 887 to 1382 of the family's 1533-position model. Lineage: Bacteria; Pseudomonadati; Bacteroidota; Sphingobacteriia; Sphingobacteriales. The record is from RNAcentral.
CGCCCGCUCAGAAACUUAAAGGAAUUGACGGGGGCCCGCACAAGCGGAGGAGCAUGUGGUUUAAUUCGAUGAUACGCGAGGAACCUUACCUGGGCUCGAACGUAAGAUGACUGUAGGUGAAAGCUUACAUCUCUUCGGAGCAUUUUACGAGGUGCUGCAUGGUUGUCGUCAGCUCGUGCCGUGAGGUGUCGGGUUAAGUCCCAUAACGAGCGCAACCCCUAUCAUUUAGUUGCCAUCAGGUCAAGCUGGGGACUCUAAUGAAACUGCCUACGCAAGUAGUGAGGAAGCGGGGAUGACGUCAAAUCAGCACGGCCCUUACGUCCAGGGCUACACACGUGCUACAAUGACCGAUACAGAGGGCAGCUACCUGGUGACAGGAUGCAAAUCUCCAAAGUCGGUCUCAGUUCGGAUCGGAGUCUGCAACCCGACUCCGUGAAGUUGGAUUCGCUAGUAAUCGCGCAUCAGCCAUGGCGCGGUGAAUACGUUCCCGGGCCUU